AUCUAUUUGUCUCUCUCCCUUGUUCCUGUAUUCCACUUCCUAUUUCUCUCUGCACGCAUGUUUUUCUUUCUUUCUUUCUUUUUUUCUUUCUUUCUUUCUUUCUUUCCUUCCUUCCUUCCUUCCUUCCUCCCUCCCUCCCUCCCUCCCUCCCUCCCUUCUUUCUUUCUUUCUUUCUUUUUUCUUUCUUUCUUUCUUUCUUUCUUUCUUUCUUUCUUUCUUUCUUUCUUUCUUUCUUAGACGGAGUGUCACUCUGUCGCCCAGGCUGGAGUGCAGUGGCGCGAUCUCGGCUCACUGCAAGCUCCACCUCCAGGGUUCACGCCAUUCUCCUGCCUCAGCCUCCCGAGUAGCUGGGACUACAGGCGCCUGCCACCAUGGCCAGGUAAUUUUUUGUAUUUUUAGUAGAGACGAGGUUUCACCGUGUUAGCCAGGAUGGUCUCGAUCUCCUGACCUCGUGAUCCGCCGACCUCGGCCUCCCAAAGUGCCGGGAUUACAGGCGUGAGCCACCGCGCCCGGCCCAUGUUUAUUUCUUUUUCUCCCCGUACCCCUACUUUUUUUUGAAACAGUGUCUUGCUCUGUCGCCCAGGUUGGAGUGCAGUGCGGGAUCAUAGCUCACUACAGCCUCGACCUUCUGGGCUUAAACGAUCCUCCCACCUCAGCCUCACAGUGCUCCAAGAAUACAGGCAUGAGCCAUGACACCUGGCCUCUUUCCCCUUCUUUAGUUCACUCACUGGUCUCUAUCAUUUCCUCUCUCUUCUCCACUCCUUCCCCAGGUUUCUGUCUCCUUGUUUCUCUUUUUCUUUCAGUUACCAGAAUUCUUACCGCUGGGCCUGGAAGAAAGAGCACUCAGGUGACCUUUAAACCUUAGGGGAAAUCGCCGGGCGCAGAGGCUCAAGCCUGUAAUCCCAGUACUUUGGGAGGCCGAGGCGGGUGGAUCACCUGAGGUCAGGAGUUCAAGACCAGCCUGGGCAACAUAGUGAAACCCCAUCUCUACUAAAAAUACAAAAAAUUAGCUGGGUGUGGUGGCAUGCGCCUGUAAUCCCAGUUACUCAGGAGGCUGAGGCAGGAGAAUCGCUUGAGCCCAGGAGGCUGAGGUUGUAGUGAGCCAAGAUUGUGCCAUUGCACUCCAGCCUGGCUGACAGAGCAAGACUCUGUCUCAAAAAUAAAAAUAAAAAUAAAAAUAAACCCUAGGGCAGAUUGCAUGUAAGUUACUGCCUCUCCACCUCCCCUUCCUGCAUGUGGGAUGAGUCAUGGCAGCCCUGUAAGCAGGCAGCACUGGCUUGGGUAGACCAACCUGGACUCUCACAUGGAAUGAUGAGUCUGUGCCCAGGAAUGAUGGGUGGGUGGGUAGGUGACUGGAUGAAUGGAUUAAUGGGAGGGUGAUCAGUUGAGUAUUUGGAUGGAUGGUUGAUUGGUUGGUCAAAGAGAUAGGUAGGUAGAUAGUCUAGGGUUGAUUGGGAAUUGGGUGGGUGUGUGGCUGAGUGGGUAGAUGGGUAGGUAAAUGGAUGCGUAGAUGGAUGUGGUGGGUAAAUGAAGGAGAGGUUAAUAUAGGUGAAUAAUGAAUAAAUGGAUGAGUAGAUGAUUGUGGGUUGGCUAAAUCUGCAGGUGGAUGGCUGGAUAGAUGAGUGGAUACAUAGAUGGGUCAAUGUGUGGAUGGAUAAAUGGGUAUAUAAAUGGAUAAGUGGGUAAGUAAGAGAAUGGAUAGUGGGUAGAUGGAUGAAUGGGUGAGUAUUUGGAUGGAUGGAUGGAUGGAUGGAUGGAUGGAUGGAUGGAUGGAUGAAUGGAUGGAUGGAUGAAUGGAAAGGAGUAUAGAUUGGUGGGUAUGUGGAUGGAUAAGUGAGUGAACAGACAGGAGGGCAUUGAUAGAUGAACGUAUGGAUGGAUAGAUAGGUGAAAGAUGGAUAACUGGGUGUAUGGAUACAUGGACUGAUGGGGAAAUGAAUGGGUGAAUAGUGAGUAGGCAGAUGAAUGAGAAAGUAGGAUGUGUGGGUUGGGGGGAGUAGAUGGAUGGAUGGAUGGGUGGAUGGAUGAAUGGAUGGAUGAGUAGGUAGUAAGAGGAUGAAUAAAUGGAUGAGUGGAUGUAUAGGAGUGCUAAAAAUGUAGAUGAAUAGAGGAGUGGAUGGAUGGGUGGCCGGAUAAAUGGGGGAACUUAUAGGAACAGAAGCAUGUUCCUAGUGAUGACAUUAAGGAACAGAUGUUUGAUGACAAAGUCAAAACGUAAGUAGGUAUAAACAAAAGUAACAGGAAUCUGCCAUCCUCCAAGAGAUCUCCCAGCCCUGGGAUCUCAAGGACUUUCUUCUCACAGAGGGGCAGGGCAGGCAGCUGUGCUAUAGAAAAAGGAGUACUGGCCUGAGCCCUGUACAGACUUGGAGUGAGUCACUACUAUUUCCUUUUCUUCCAUUUCUUCAAAUGUCAAAUGGACAUAAUAACAUCAGCCUCACUGGGUUGAGAAGAAAAGGUAAAGUAACAGGAAUGAAGUCACCUUACCAACUGGAACACUCUCCACCAUGCACCAAUAUCAAUACAUGGAAUUUAGCACAGCCUUGUCACCACCCUAAUUUCUUUGGUUGACGACCAACCAGACUCAAGGUCCAGCAGCUGACCCCUUCUUAAGCCAUGAGCUUUCUUCUAAAGGCCCCUCCCUCACAUCUUCACUUCCCCAAACUCUACCUGUUCUGUAGGGUCCAGUUCUCUCUCACAUACCGGUACCUACAAGAAACCUUCUCCAGUUAUCCCUCCCCCCAUAACAGAGGACAUUGAAUGCCACAGCAAAGAAUAUGGACAUUAAUUAGGCCAGUGAAAUGAGCUGCAGAAAGGUGGGGUUUUGUUUGUUUGUUUGUUUGUUUGUUUGUUUUAAAGACAGAGUCUUGCCCUGUUGCCCAGGCUGGAGUACAAUGGCAUGAUCUCGGCUUACUGCAACCUCUGCCUCCUGGGUUCAAGUGAUUCUCCUGCCUCAGCCUCCUGAGUAGCUGGGAUUACAGGCACCCACCACCACACCCAGCUAAUUUUUGUAAUUUUAGUAGAGAUGGGGUUUCACCAGGUUGGCCAGGUUGGUCUCGAACUCCUGGCCUCAGGUGAUCCACCCGCCUCAGCCUCCCAAAGUGUUGGGAUUACAGGCAUGAGCCACCAUGCCCCGCCUGCAGAAAGGUUUUAAAUCCCUACCUGCCUCCUGGAACAUGUUUGACCAGGACUCUGGCAAUCUGUGUCCCUAGGUUCCUUUCCCAUCUCCACUUUCAACACCACCUCCCCAAAAUAGAAAAAUGCCUUUUGUUCAUCUCUGGGUUUUUGGCCCCCAGUACCGGGUUUUCAGUAAACACUUGCUGAGCACAUCUAAGUCUGAAAUGGGGAAGCGUGGAGGUUGGUAAUACACAACACAUCAGCAAUACAGUUUUGCCUACUGACCCUUCUGCUGCUUGUCUUCUUCCCACUCUGUGUCAGUUUCUCAGAGGAGGAAACUCAGGCCAAUAGAAAUUGCCCAACGGCCCCCCAAAAUCCUGCUGUCCCUUCCCCCAUUCUGAACUAAGCUGUCAGGAAUGUGACCACCAGAGCAGAAAGAUCCUUUGUUACCACAGAGAGAGGCCAAGUUUGUGAAAUCCCUCCUGGUUGCUGUGUGGAGCCCUAGUUCAUCCACAUUUCCAACAGCUGAGUCUUCCGCACAACGGGAAAAGCACCAUUAAUUUCACUCUCCUAUCUUGGAGCAUUUAGAUCAUUUCCUGGUUUUGCUUCUUACAAACAGAGCUGCUAUGAACAUCCCUACCUGGAACUCAGGGGCCACUUUUCUCUAGGGACACAUUCAUCUGUCUGCUAGAUGCUUUUUUCUAAAACUCUACUUUCAUUUUAAAAAUUAUGACAUGGCUAUACUUGCUCAGGCCUCUAAGAUGGCAUCCUAGGACCUACUGAAUGGAGUCCCAGCAUCUCAAGGAAGGAAUGCCAGAAGCCAGAACAUCCAAGUAACAAUCUCCACCUGCAGCUGAUGCUCUCUGGGACCCAGGACCAGCCACUCUUCUCUGUGCCCCACUUUCCUCCUUUGUAAUCUAAUUACCCAGUGAUGACCAGGAUAUAAGAGGACUUGUCUGCAUUGUCUCAUGGCCACAACCACAAGAAGAGCGUCCUGCUGUCACCCCCAUUUUAUAAAUAGGGAAACUAGGUCAGGCAUGGUGGCUCACACCUGUAAUCCUAGAGCUUUGAGAGGCCAAGGCGGGAGGAACAGUUGAGACAGCAGUUUGAGACCAGCCUGGGCAACAUAGCAAGAACUCCGUCUUGACAAAAAAAAAAAAAAUUUUUUUUAAAUUAACUGGGCAUGGUGGCACACACCUGUUGUUCCAACUAUUCGAGAGGCUGAGAUGGGAGGAUCAUUUGAGCCCAGGAGAUCGAGGCUGCAGUGAGCUAGGAUCAUGCCACUGCACUCCAGCCUGGACAACAGAGUGAGACCUUAUCUCUAAAAAAUAAGAAAACUGAGGCACAGAGAAGUUAAGUAACGUGCUCAAGGUCAUGCAACUAGUAAGUGGCAGAGCCUACGUGCUUUCCCUUCAUUAAUUCAGUCAUUUAUUCAACAACUAUUUUAUUGAACAUCCACUAUGUACCCAGCCUCGGCAGUGAUCAAGAUACCCAAGAUCCUAGAUUUUACAAAAUCCACCACUUAAAAGCAGAGCAUGGGAUGGAAAGGAGACAAAAAUUAUUGUGUCUAACUUAUUUGUUAAUUUGCCUAUGGGCAGCAAUAAGUGCCAUGGGGGGAAAAAAGGUAGAGUAAUAGGAACUACUUUGGUCAGGGAAGUCCUCUCUGCAGAGUGGAGACCUCACUGUCAAGGAGAAAACAGCCAAGCAAAGGCCUAAAUCAAGGGUGUUACAAGAGAAAGGAAAAGGCAGGAGUAGAGAGGCCCCAUUGUCAGAGGCGUUUAAACCAGAGUGACUCCAUCUUGACCAGGAGCUGGGUACAAUGAGGCUGAAACCUACUGGGCUGCAUUCCCAGAUGGUUAGGCAUUCUGAGUCACAGGAUAAGAUAGGAGGUCUGCACAAAAUACAGGUCAUAAAGACCUUGCUGAUAAAACAGGAUAAGUAAAGAAGCCAGCCAAAACCCACCAAAACCAAGAUGGUGACGAGAGUGACCUGUGGUCGCCCUCACUGCUGCACUCCCACCCGCGUCAUGACAGUUUACAAAUGCCAUGGCAAUGUCAAGAAGUUACCCAAAAGGGCCAAAAAGGAGGAGGCAUAAAUAAUCCACCCCUUGUUUAGCAUAUCAUCAAGAAAUAACCAUAAAAAUGGGCAACCAGCAGCCCUUGGAUCUGCUCUGCCUAUGGAGUAGCCAUUCUUUCAUUCCUUUACUUUCCUAAUAAACUUGCUUUCACUUUACUUUAUGGACUCGGCCUGAAUUCUUUAUUGCAUGAGAUCCAAGAACCCUCUUUUGGGGUCUGGAUUGGGACUCCUUUCCUGUAACACCAUGCCAGAAGCCAUUCUGGAAUGUUCUGGAAACAGAACAAGCCAGGAGCCAAGUGACAAGUGAGUCAGUGAGAGGCUGGGACACCCCACUACAGAUCCUCCAUGUGAAUUCUUGGGCUGAUCUGGGGAACCUUCCAUGGGCUGGCCC
This 5581-nucleotide long non-coding RNA is filed under the name Homo sapiens (human). RNAcentral's name for it is "HSALNT0370528". Lineage: Eukaryota; Metazoa; Chordata; Mammalia; Primates; Hominidae. The record is from RNAcentral.